RNAcentral lists this transfer RNA (75 nucleotides) under TM7 phylum sp. oral taxon 351. RNAcentral's name for it is "tRNA-Gly". It matches the Rfam family "tRNA". Rfam says of the family: Transfer RNA (tRNA) molecules are approximately 80 nucleotides in length. Their secondary structure includes four short double-helical elements and three loops (D, anti-codon, and T loops). Lineage: Bacteria; Candidatus Saccharimonadota. RNAcentral also lists the same sequence under 4 other names. The record is from RNAcentral.
GCGAGUGUAGUACAGCGGUUAGUAUACAAGUUUUCCAAACUUGGGAUGAGAGUUCGAUUCUCUCCACUCGCACCA